Long non-coding RNA from Panicum virgatum (switchgrass), 1541 nucleotides. RefSeq lists it as uncharacterized. Lineage: Eukaryota; Viridiplantae; Streptophyta; Magnoliopsida; Poales; Poaceae. The record is from RefSeq and is a predicted model, not a curated record. The transcript is spliced from 2 exons.
UCUACCCCUCUCCAGAAGUAUCUCGCACCGCCAGCUCUCUUCCUCUCCCUUCUUUCUUUCUCCAGCUCGAGCGUGCGCGAGCAGAGCAGAGCCAUGGUUGCCGCCCGACCCCCCACGACGAGCCGCCGUCUGAGCUCGCCCCGACCUCCACCAACCCUCCAGGCGCACUCACCACCUCCUAUGGCACCUCCCCGAAUUACCAGACCACUGCUCCGGCCACCAGCUUACCGGAACAGAACCCGCCGCCGCCGCCCAGACCACCCGCACGUCGAGCUCCCUUCCUCGGUUCUCCUCCGCCCAAACCGACCCUCGGAAUGGGUCGCUCUCGACUUGCUGAUGCUCACCAGCCUACCCACCGCCGCCCUCCCUCGCCAGAGCACCGCUGCACGCCGCGCCGAGCGCCGCCUCUCACUGCUCCCGCCGUCGGCGCCUCUCCGGUCGCCCCCAACCCCAACCAAGCCCACCUACAGGUAGUCCUCGUCGCCCUCAUGCUCCUCCACCCCUCCCUCGUCGCCGGGAAGCAUCCCCAUCGCCGGAAUCGUCGUUUCCCCUUGCUGCUCUGCUUCAACUCGCGACUAGGGACUUCGUGCAGCAAUUCAAACUAGUGCAGGGGGUUUUCUGCAAUGUCAUAGACUCAUAGGAAUAGUGUUUCAGGGACCAAAUCGCUUGGAACUUUGAAAAUCCAUAGAAAAUAGUAGAAAAAUCGUAAAAUAGCAAUUUAAGAUGUUUUGGAAUCCUUGUGAGUAGAUCUAUGCAGUGGAAUCAUAAUAUGAUGGGUGUUAGUUGAAAAUAUUUACUGUAAAAAUAGAUUUAUGCUUGUUAAGGUUUUAAUGCUAGUGUUGCUUGUCUUUUUCAUAACUGCAGUUAUAGUGCUCUAAAUGAUAUGAAAUUUUUAUGGUAGGCUAUUAUUGUGAUGUGUGCACUGUGGUAAAAAUUUCAAGUUCAUUGAGGACAGUAUGACCGAGUUUUUGAUUUAACUUGUUGAAUGCUAAGUAAAUAGUUUAUAAAUAAUAGAAAUGUGUAAAAAUGGAAAAUGUGAUUCCACUACCCUUGUAUGAUGUUAUUUUGGUCUAAAAUAUAUAUAUGCCUAUAUGUCUUAAUAUCUAAAUAAAUUAAGAAAGGCUUUAAAUAAAUUAAUUUGGGGUUGGAUGCUAUGUUUUCUGGUGAUCAUAAGUCAUGUAUGACAUGUUAGAUGUUGCUCAUGCAACUCUUGUUUAAACUUGAUAUUAUUUGCAUGGUUGCUAAAGAUAGCUCAUGACCUUCAUGCUUAUGGAUGCUCAGUCGUGACCUUGUGUCUGUCUUGCUUGCUCUUUUUGAUGCAUUGUCUAUUGUACCUCUGUGCAUUCAUACAUAUGCAUUAUUGCACCUCAUUUAGGUACGAUAGAUGAACCACGUGAAGGACGUGAUAUUGUAACCGAACACGAAGAUGAUGUUUGGUGGACAUAUUCAGAAGAGGCAAAGAACCAGGAGUACAUGCUUGGACCGGAAUACUCGCCAAGCGAGUGUCAUCUAACAAACACUGACCUAGUGUUAAUCCCAGG